GACGAACGCUGGCGGCGUGCUAAUACAUGCCAGUCGAGCGGACGAAUCGAAAGCUUGCUUUUGAUUCGUUAGCGGCGGACGGGUGAGUAACACGUGGGCAACCUGCCCUGUAGACGGGGAUAACACCGAGAAAUCGGUGCUAAUACCGGAUAACACGAAAUGUCGCAUGACGUUUCGUUGAAAGACGGCGCAAGCUGCCGCUACAGGAUGGGCCCGCGGCGCAUUAGCUAGUUGGUGAGGUAACGGCUCACCAAGGCGACGAUACGUAGCCGACCUGAGAGGGUGAUCGGCCACACUGGGACUGAGACACGGCCCAGACUCCUACGGGAGGCAGCAGUAGGGAAUCUUCCGCAAUGGACGAAAGUCUGACGGAGCAACGCCGCGUGAGCGAAGAAGGCCUUCGGGUCGUAAAGCUCUGUUGUUAGGGAAGAACAAGUAACGCAGUAACUGGCGUUACCGUGACGGUACCUAACGAGAAAGCCACGGCUAACUACGUG
This 497-nucleotide ribosomal RNA is filed under the name uncultured bacterium. RNAcentral's name for it is "partial 16S ribosomal RNA". It matches the Rfam family "Bacterial small subunit ribosomal RNA", at positions 28 to 507 of the family's 1533-position model. The record is from RNAcentral.